CCUUAACUAGAAUGAUACGGUUCCAGUCAGACCGGAGGGGAAAGACGCUAAUACAGGUUCGCAACC
RNAcentral lists this microRNA precursor (66 nucleotides) under Nematostella vectensis (starlet sea anemone). RNAcentral's name for it is "mir-9437 microRNA precursor family". The record is from Rfam by way of RNAcentral. Lineage: Eukaryota; Metazoa; Cnidaria; Anthozoa; Actiniaria; Edwardsiidae.